Non-coding RNA from Paramuricea clavata, 202 nucleotides. The record is from the annotation of a GenBank genome assembly. NCBI's taxonomy places the organism in Eukaryota, Metazoa, Cnidaria, Anthozoa, Malacalcyonacea, Plexauridae.
UGUUCACCCCUAUAUCUGUGUAAGAUAAGGUUUUUACCCCUGUUCCUAUGUGUAACAUAAUGCAUCCAUCGCCCUGCCCCUAUAUGUAACAUAAGGUGUUCACCACUAUAUCAGUAGUAUAAGAUAAGGUUUGUACCCCUGCUCCUAUGUGUAACAUAAGGGGGUCCAUCCCUAUAUCAGUGUAAGAUAAGGUUUAUACCCC